This 981-nucleotide unclassified non-coding RNA is filed under the name Limulus polyphemus (Atlantic horseshoe crab). RNAcentral describes it as "transcription factor SOX-4-like, transcript variant X2". The record is from RNAcentral. Lineage: Eukaryota; Metazoa; Arthropoda; Merostomata; Xiphosura; Limulidae.
ACAUACUAAUUACCAUUCAUUAUCGUAUUCAGGGAACUAUUCUCUCAAUAGGUGGCUUCUAAGAUUAUCGUACUAGUGCAGAUACUCCGGUGGAAUGGUUAGUUGUUGCCAUCUGGAGGCGUCGAAAACAGUCACGUCGAGAGCGUCUGCUUUAUAAGAGUUCUGGAUUGGUUAAUCAUAGUGUGUCGUCAUCAAUGCCGUCUUUGAAAACGGCGGACACAUUAGCCUUUAUCAAUGCGUCGUCUGUAUUCAGACAACAGAUAGUCACUGUUUGGUUGAGAGACGAAUGACCUUGUUAUGCACGUGUGACACUUAUGCGUUUCCUUGAAGCACCGGAAGAGGGCUGCUGAUUUGGUGAGUGGAUUUAUACGGUUUAUUGGUCAAACAAGAAUUAAAUGGAAUAUACGAGUAUGUGUUUACGGUUUAUCAAAAGAAUGUAUUAAAAACCAACAACAAUUAAACAGCCACAUAGUCCUUGAUAUUAUUCAUCACUUGCCGUCCACCUAUCGUCAAAACUAUGAAACUAUUUUGUUUAAUGGCGUAAGUGCAAAGAAUUGUGAGAAAUAAGUGUUAGUAGUUGAUUUUCAGCCAGUUAAAGCAAAGCUGAGUGCUUGGGUCACAAGCUUCUGCUUCAACUGGAUAUAAAUAAUACUUUGUCUAGAUAGCCUGCCGAUUAACUUCAUUAGAGUUUAUAAGUUAACUAAAUUCUUCCAAAUUUAGCCCUCACCUCCUACGUUUUGACGUCGAUGAAAGUUGUCAUAUUUUGCAUGUCUUCAAAAGCCAUUGUUUUAUUCUACUUCUCUUGUAACGAAAACAUCAAUAUUUGGUAUGCAAUGUCCGAAAUGCGCCUGUUUCUCUCGUCAGUCACUAUCAAAGAUCGCACUCGACUUGCAAUCUGCGGGUUCGAAUCCCCGUCACACCAAACAUACUCGCCCUUUCAGCUGUGGGGCGUUAUGAUGUAACGGUCAAUCCCACUAUUCG